Molecule: ribosomal RNA, 823 nt
Filed under: uncultured Planctomycetia bacterium
Lineage: Bacteria; Pseudomonadati; Planctomycetota; Planctomycetia
Description: bacterial SSU rRNA
Rfam family: Bacterial small subunit ribosomal RNA
Source: RNAcentral
ANANUUUGAUCAUGGCUCAGAACGAACGUUGGCGGCGUGGAUUAGGCAUGCAAGUCGAACGAGAACGGUUCCUUCGGGGACUUAGUAGAGUGGCGGACGGGUGAGUAAUGCAUGGACAACCUACCCUCGAGAGGGGGACAACCAUUCGAAAGGGUGGCUAAUACCCCAUAAUGUGCUUAGACGAUGGUUUAGGUAUCAAAGAUAGCCUCUGAUUCAAGCUUUCGCUCAAGGAGGGGUUCAUGUCCUAUUAGCUAGUUGGUGAGGUAACGGCUCACCAAGGCGGCGAUGGGUAGCCGGCCUGAGAGGGCGACCGGUCACACUGGGACUGAGACACUGCCCAGACUCCUACGGGAGGCUGCAGUCGAGAAUCUUCCGCAAUGCGCGCAAGCGUGACGGAGCGACGCCGCGUGGGCGAUGAAGGCCUUCGGGUUGUAAAGUCCUGUUAUUUGCUAAGAAUGCCGGGUGGUGAAUAGCCAUCCCGGUUGACGUCAGCAGAAGAGGAAGCACCGGCUAAAUACGUGCCAGCAGCCGCGGUAAUACGUAUGGUGCAAACGUUGUUCGGAUUUACUGGGCAUAAAGAGCUCGUAGGCGGUUUGGUCAGUCUGUCUGUGAAAUCCCUCGGCUUAACCGAGGAACUGCAGUGGAUACUGCUGAACUAGAGUGCAGGAGGGGAGAGUGGAAUUCCUGGUGGAGCGGUGAAAUGCGUAGAUAUCAGGAGGAACGCCGGUGGCGAAAGCGACUCUCUGGCCUGCAACUGACGCUGAGGAGCGAAAGCCAGGGGAGCGAACGGGAUUAGAUACCCCGGUAGUCCUGGCCCUAAACG